ACGAACGCUGGCGGCGUGCCUAAUACAUGCAAGUCGAACGGUCUUUCUAUGGAAGCUUGCUUCCACUGAGAAGAUAGUGGCGAACGGGUGAGUAACAACGUGGGUAACCUGCCCAUAAGAGGGGGAUAACAUCCGGAAACGGGUGCUAAUACCGCAUAGUUUUCUUGAUCGCAUGAUCGGGAAAGGAAAGACGGCCUUUGUGCUGUCGCUUAUGGAUGGACCCGCGGCGUAUUAGUUAGUUGGUGAGGUAACGGCUCACCAAGACGAUGAUACGUAGCCGACCUGAGAGGGUGAUCGGCCACAUUGGGACUGAGACACGGCCCAAACUCCUACGGGAGGCAGCAGUAGGGAAUCUUCCGCAAUGGACGAAAGUCUGACGGAGCAACGCCGCGUGAGUGAAGAAGGUUUUCGGGAAUCGUAAAACUCUGUUGUCAGAGAAGAACAAGUUGGAGAGUAACUGCUCCAGCCUUGACGGUAUCUGACCAGAAAGCCACGGCUAACUACGUGCCAGCAGCUGC
Molecule: ribosomal RNA, 518 nt
Filed under: uncultured bacterium
Lineage: Bacteria
Description: bacterial SSU rRNA
Rfam family: Bacterial small subunit ribosomal RNA
Source: RNAcentral